This 278-nucleotide ribosomal RNA is filed under the name uncultured bacterium. RNAcentral describes it as "partial 16S ribosomal RNA". It matches the Rfam family "Bacterial small subunit ribosomal RNA", at positions 337 to 632 of the family's 1533-position model. The record is from RNAcentral.
ACCUACGGGGGGCAGCAGUGGGGAAUAUUGCACAAUGGGGGGAACCCUGAUGCAGCGACGCCGCGUGGGCGAUGGAGUAUUUCGGUAUGUAAAGCCCUAUCGGCAGGGAAGAAACUGACAGUACCUGACUAAGAAGCCCCGGCUAACUACGUGCCAGCAGCCGCGGUAAUACGUAGGGGGCAAGCGUUAUCCGGAUUUACUGGGGGUAAAGGGAGCGCAGACGGCAAGGCAAGUCUGAUGUGAAAGUCCGAGGCUCAACCUCGGGACUGCAUUGGAAA